This is an RNA transcript of Malania oleifera, 3012 nucleotides long. It is a transcript of the gene named transcription factor MYB3R-3, with no coding region annotated. The transcript has 10 exons. Lineage: Eukaryota; Viridiplantae; Streptophyta; Magnoliopsida; Santalales; Ximeniaceae. The record is from RefSeq and is a predicted model, not a curated record.
AAUUCUACUUCCCUUCUCUCUCUUCCAACGGGCGAGGUUUUUUCGAAAGUUCUCUCUCGCUCUCGCUCGCCGAGUUUUCUUGGCUGGAAGGAUUGGAACCCGUUGUUGGAUUGAUGAGCUCGCCCUCGAUUCUGGCCACUACUUUGGAAGAAUAGGAUGUUGGAUUUCGGAGGCGCUGGUCGAAGGAGAUGGACGAGGUGAAAUUGCAAGAGUGUUGUCUAGAGAACAAACAAUCGACAGCUGCUUCAAGCUCCUCAGUUUCCGAAGGCAGUGGCAGCUUUUGUGCCAAGUCUCCUGGGGUAUCUAGCCCGGCUGCAACAUCACCUUCUCAUAGGAGGACGUCUGGCCCUAUUAGGCGACCAAAGGGUGGUUGGACUGCUGAGGAGGAUGAUACAUUAAGACAUGCUGUAGCUGUAUUUAACGGAAAAUGUUGGAAGAAAAUAGCUAAAUUUUUUACUGAUAGAUCAGAAGUGCAAUGUCUGCACCGAUGGCAGAAAGUUCUUAAUCCAGAGCUUGUUAAAGGGCCAUGGACUCAAGAGGAAGAUGAUAAAAUUAUUGAACUAGUAUCUAAACAUGGCCCCACAAAAUGGUCUUUCAUUGCAAAGUCUUUACCAGGUCGCAUAGGAAAGCAAUGCCGCGAGAGGUGGCACAAUCAUUUGAAUCCAGAUAUAAAAAGGGAUGCUUGGACACUGGAGGAGGAGCUAGCUGUCAUGAAUGCCCAUCGGACACAUGGGAAUAAAUGGGCUGAAAUAGCUAAGGUUUUACCUGGAAGGACUGAUAAUGCAAUAAAGAAUCAUUGGAAUAGUUCCCUAAAGAAGAAGUUAGAUUUCUAUUUGGCUUCAGGGAAACUUCCACCUGCAGUUAGGUAUGGUCUUCAAGAUAUUAGUGAGCCUGCUGCAAAACCGACUGUCUGUUCAGCAAAAGUAUCAGAUUCAACCGCUCAAACAUCAUCAGGAUCUACAGAUAAAUGUAAACUAGAGGAAGAUGGGAAGGGCCAAUUAGAUUCCUGUGAGCCUCUUCCAGAUACAGGUGCAUUAUCAAGUCUUCCCCCAAGUGAAUCUGCUGAUUCUAAAGGUGUUGAAUGCGAGUCUGAGCCACCUGGUGCUGAUCCUAGCUGUAGCAAUUCAGAGUCAGGUCCAAAUUUUGAGAAAUGUAGAAUCAACAGAGAAGUUGAUAAGGACGAAGUUGCUGGAACACCUAUGCAGUUUGAAAUGUCAAGCUAUGGUUCUUUGUACUAUGAGCCACCCCAGUUAGAAAGUUGCAUUCCAUUAUAUACAGAUAUCUUUAACACUCAUUGCAUGCAGCAUGAACGUGACUCUAGUCAGAUGACAUCACCAGAUAUUUAUUCGACUCCACCUUGUGUGAAGGGUAGUGGUUUAGGCAGGCAAAGUCCAGAAUCUAUAUUGAAAAUUGCUGCGAGGAGCUUCCCAAACACUCCUUCCAUACUACGAAAGAGAAAGUCAGAAGCUCAAACACCUCUAUUCUCUAAAGAAAUUGGAAAAGCAGAAGGAAAAACAGUCAAAAGUAUGUUUUCUGUUUCUGAUGAAUGGGAAAUAAAUGAGAAUAGUUUGGAUAAAUCAGAGCCACAAGAUGGAAGUUUAUGCGAGAGCCCUGCUUGUCAUAGUAGUAGCACCACUAGGCUAUGCAAUGAUAAGGCUAUUAAUGCAUCAGUUCCGUAUCGGUUAAGAUCCAAAAGAACUGCUGUUUUCAAGUCCGUGGAGAAACGACUUCAGUUCACACUUGACAAAGAGAAGUGUGAUGGUAAUCUAAAAUCUCUUGAUGUAUCUAUCAAGGGGAAGUCUCCUUGUUCCAAAGAUUGUUCACAUGCAAUGAGGAUGGAAAUAACUUAGACACUAUGCUUUCUCCUGUUUAAAAGUUGUUGGGGCCACUUUUUUUUCCUCAGUUGGAUGUAGUCUGUGGUUAUAACUCCUAAGGUGCUGCUGAUGUUAAUGCACUCGAAUCCUGCUGGUAGUAGACAGCUGUUGCUAGUGAAUGCAUCCAGAUUGUGUUGUGUUUUGGUUGUGCGAAGUUCUGGAAUGGUUUCUCCCUGCCUGCACCUGUUUCUGUUGUUGGGUUUUUGAUCCAUCUUUGACCUUUUGUUUCCUGUUCCUGUUUGCAUCUGCAACCAAUUGACAUCAGGCUGUGUUUUUGUAAGGUUCAGGGCUAAUCUUUGGACACCCCUGCUAUUUAUGUGAUUGUGGCUGGUCUUAUGGAGUUCUAGCGUGGUUUCUCCCUGCCUUCCAGCACACUUAGGCUACUGUAGCUGCUGUGCUGAGGUGGUAACUGUUCAGCUGUUUGUGGGCUUUUCUUUUCUCAUGCUUAUGCUCCCUCAUAGGUUGUUGUGGCUGGUGGUUUGCUAUUAUCUUUGGUCAUAGCUGCUUGUUGAAGCCUUAACAUGCCUUCAAAGGACUGGUACAAUUGCUGCCCUGUGUAUGCUGACUUACUUUCCAUCAUACAUGUAGAAAGAAUAACAGAUGUCUGGUGGCAGAUCUAUUUUGAGAAAGAAUUCCGAUUGAUGUGGUGGUUUGUACAGGAAUGCAGUUUCAUGAGAGGCUGAAAAUGGCUUGAAAAUUUUUUUCUUUUCAAAUGAUCUUCCUUUCAUUGUUACCUCAUCCAAAAUCUACAAAUUAGAAUCAUAGAUGUUAGACAAUACGUUUUGCCUCUUUUCCUUGGUAUACUCAUGCUAGUGGGUUCUCCCAAGAAAGAAAAUGUUAGGUUGUGUUUGGGUGCAUGGUUUUAGACUCUUCGAUUUUGAUUUGUUUGAAUUUGGAUAAAACAAAACAUAAUCUUGACUUUCGUUUUGUUCAAAUCAAAUUGUAUUUUGUUUUGUCCAAAUUCAUAUAUCCAAAUCAGGAGCUGAACUCUAUGCCCUCAAAUAUAGAGACAAUGUAUUCUUUAGCUGGAAAUAAGCCAAAUUCAUAUAUACAAAAUAUAAAUUUGUAUUUCGUUGCACGUGAUAUAAAUGCACAUACAACGAAUGGUGAAUUAAUUAGAUAAUAAUUUCUUAGUGAA